RNAcentral lists this ribosomal RNA (913 nucleotides) under uncultured crenarchaeote. Its description in RNAcentral is "bacterial SSU rRNA". It matches the Rfam family "Archaeal small subunit ribosomal RNA", at positions 1 to 922 of the family's 1478-position model. The record is from RNAcentral. Lineage: Archaea; Thermoproteati; Thermoproteota.
UCCGGUUGAUCCCGCCGGACCUGACUGCUAUCGGAUUGAUACUAAGCCAUGCGAGUCAUUGUAGCAAUACAAGGCAUACGGCUCAGUAACGCGUAGUCAACCUAACCUAUGGACGGGAAUAACCUCGGGAAACUGAGAAUAAUGCCCGAUAGAACACUAUACCUGGAAUGGUUUGUGUUCCAAAUGAUUUAUCGCCAUAGGAUGGGACUGCGGCCUAUCAGUUUGUUGGUGAGGUAAUGGCCCACCAAGACUAUUACAGGUACGGGCUCUGAGAGGAGUAGCCCGGAGAUGGGUACUGAGACACGGACCCAGGCCCUAUGGGGCGCAGCAGGCGAGAAAACUUUGCAAUGUGCGAAAGCACGACAAGGUUAAUCCGAGUGAUUUGUGCUAAACGAAUCUUUUGUUAGUCCUAGAAACACUAACGUAUAAGGGGUGGGCAAGUUCUGGUGUCAGCCGCCGCGGUAAAACCAGCACCUCAAGUGGUCAGGAUGAUUAUUGGGCCUAAAGCAUCCGUAGCCGGCUCUGUAAGUUUUCGGUUAAAUCUGUACGCUUAACGUACAGGCUGCCGGGAAUACUGCAGAGCUAGGGAGUGGGAGAGGUAGACGGUACUCGGUAGGAAGUGGUAAAAUGCUUUGAUCUAUCGAUGACCACCUGUGGCGAAGGCGGUCUACCAGAACACGUCCGACGGUGAGGGAUGAAAGCUGGGGGAGCAAACCGGAUUAGAUACCCGGGUAGUCCCAGCUGUAAACUAUGCAAACUCAGUGAUGCAUUGGCUUGUGGCCAAUGCGGUGCUGCAGGGAAGCCGUUAAGUUUGCCGCCUGGGAAGUACGUACGCAAGUAUGAAACUUAAAGGAAUUGGCGGGGGAGCACCACAAGGGGUGAAGCCUGCGGUUCAAUUGGAUUCAACGCCGGA